Molecule: ribosomal RNA, 492 nt
Filed under: uncultured bacterium
Lineage: Bacteria
Description: partial 16S ribosomal RNA
Rfam family: Bacterial small subunit ribosomal RNA
Source: RNAcentral
AGUGAACGCUGGCGGCAGGCCUAACACAUGCAAGUCGAACGGCAGCACAGUAACUGCUUGCGCUUACGGGUGGCGAGUGGGGGACGUGUGAGGAAUACAUCGGAAUCUACUUUUUGGUGGGGGAUAACGUAGGGAAACUUACGCUAAUACCGCAUACGACCUACGGGGGAAAGCAGGGGAUCUUUGCACCUUGCGCGAUUGAAUGAGCCGAUGUCGGAUUAGCUAGUUGGCGGGGUAAAGGCCCACCAAGGCUACGAUCCGUAGCUGGUCUGAGAGGAUGAUCAGCUACCCUGGAAGUGAGACAGGGUCCAGACUCCUACGGGAAGGCGCAGUCGAGAAUAUUGGCGAACGGGUGCGAGCCUGAUCCAGGCAUACCGCGUACGUGAAGAAAAAGUUCGGGUUGGUAAGACCUUUUGUUGGGAACGAAAAGCAGCAGGUUUAUACGCCGCUAUAGUGACGGUACCCAGAGAAUAAGCACCGGCUAACUUCGUG